RNAcentral lists this small RNA (1703 nucleotides) under Neurospora crassa OR74A. Its description in RNAcentral is "Neurospora crassa sRNA NCU14118". Lineage: Eukaryota; Fungi; Ascomycota; Sordariomycetes; Sordariales; Sordariaceae. The record is from RNAcentral.
CCCGUGUGUUGCGUCUACGGCGCUACGCUACGCUACACAGGAGGUUCACGGGCACGUCGGUUAUACCUUAGUAUUCUUGAUAAGAAACAUUACCCCGGACUCGACUUGUCACGAGUUUGAGAGAUUGACGGACCCUAGAUAAAUUGGCAUGGAGAACGAAAGAGUGCUAAACACAAUGGCGUCCCAACAAGCACAAACUCCGAGCGAGACGACAUUAAGAAGCGGAUUUCCCCAGAUCUCCCUCCCCACGCGCUAAACCCUGUAUGUUUGAUGUUAUUGGCAACCAAACAGACACUCCAAAUACACUACUUUCCCGGCCGCCCUUAUUGAACACCUAUGAUUAGCAAGGUUUUUCUUGGCCCAUAACAUGCGCGGCCUCUAUUACUUGGACUUUUUCUUCUCUUUCGUUCUUUUCGAUAUCAUCACUUUUAAUGCGAACGCGCGGUUCCUGUUCUGCCUUGCGAUAAGCGUCUGCAUGUACGUUUCUGGCCCACUCGGUUCGAACCCAACUGCACGCCAUCUAGCGCAACAAUACCUCUCGCAACUUUCGUUUUGUUCGGACCUUUUGAUACUGAUUCGGGUUGGAAGCAUUGGGUUACUUGGAGAAAUGACGAAAUGGACGAAUAGGACAACGGUUAAUGAGGGGAUGAGGGGAAGGAAAGGGGAAACUUUGGGUUCUGGAGCGUAGAGGUUGGGACCCUACAUGGAGUUGCUUGGUGUAUGUAACCACCCACUCUGUUUGGCUGCAGACAACCCGACCCGCCUCGUCCUCAUGUGCACUCCUCCACAGUUUUGCGUUGUGUAGCAGCCAGCCAGCAAGCAGCCGGCCAUCUUUGUUGUGACGAACGGGAAAGGCAGAUUCACUGUUUCCUUCCCGUUGUCCCCUUUUUGGGUUCGUUGGAUGCUUGUUGCGUGCGGAACGGAGCCCUUAUCGCCUUUUCCAAUUACCUUUCUUCAACCACACGAGUUCAUUAAUCUUAGUCGUUUCUACUCUCUUUGUACGGUAGAUGGCCAAUGUCAGUUCAAACAUAAAAACCCCCGGAAUCUCGCAACAACAGCCCGAUUCGUGAACCCUGAAAUUGGCUGUCCCACGAGAAUUUGUGCUCCAAGACACCCUUAGACUUGUUACGGCACCGACCAUGCCCCGGGCCCAUGACUCUUCUCGGAUGCGGAUGGGAGUUCUAGAAAAGCCGCUACCCGCGACGCCGCCGGCCGCCCACCCACCCACCCUUCAUUCAGCCCAGCCACUUUUACCACUCACUGGAAAGUUAGAAAGCGGUGAGGGAACUCUACAACCACACGUCAAACGGCCGUGUGGGACGGGAAGCAAGGUGAGAGAUCCCAACUUCAAGGCGUGUGGUGAGGUGAGUGAGUGGGUGCCGAACAGGUUCACUUGUACUGUCAUGCAUCGUCGGGCACCUCUGUAGGUACAUAUGGUGGUGCAUGAUGUUACUGUACGAUUUAUGCUUAUCGGGUGAUGUACAUACAAUCCAGUACUGGUUUGUUUGUUCCUUAGUUCAGUUCUUCGGUUUAACAGGGGAGAUCUAGAGCUCUUACUAUUGGCCUGCAAAGAGAGAAACUGGCCGUUGUUUGAAGCGUCAUGGAUAAUACAUAGAUAACCAGGGUGGAAAACGCGCCAGAAGCCUUCUUAUCCUGCUCUCCGUCUUCACCCAUAGGUACCUAGCCUUCAAAGUCUGAAAACG